This 249-nucleotide long non-coding RNA is filed under the name Elaeis guineensis (African oil palm). Its description in RNAcentral is "long non-coding RNA (EGUI_LNC051396)". Lineage: Eukaryota; Viridiplantae; Streptophyta; Magnoliopsida; Arecales; Arecaceae. The record is from RNAcentral.
UAUAAUUCUUCGAGUUGGAGGUAGAGGCUACUAAUUCGUAAAAAUAAUGGGAUGACCUUUAGAUUAAAGUUCAUAUCUUCAAGAUUAAAAAUAAUUCAUAUACUGAUAGUUAUAUUUUUUCUUUCAGUUAUGACCAACACACUAUCCCUCCGUACAUUGUUGGACAGUGACAAGCUCAUCGGAUCCAACUUCGAUAGCUGGUAUCGAAAGUUGAAGAUCGUCUUAGAUUACAAAAGGAUUUUAUAUGUC